Long non-coding RNA from Daphnia pulicaria, 995 nucleotides. RefSeq lists it as uncharacterized. The transcript is spliced from 2 exons. The record is from RefSeq and is a predicted model, not a curated record. Lineage: Eukaryota; Metazoa; Arthropoda; Branchiopoda; Diplostraca; Daphniidae.
AGGGAAAUUGGGUUUAUUGAAUGAAAUAGUUUUAAUAUAGCCAGGACAUAUAUAUAUUUUUUUAUAAGUAUCUUUGUGUGUGCCAAGUGAAACUGACGAUAGGGGGCCGCUGAGUUUGAUGAAGGUGGAGAAUUGAAUUCGGACGAGAUUGAUGGAUCCAUAUCCUCCAUGGAAGGUAACCGGCAAUUUAUUUAGUCCCAUUUUUUCCGGCGAUGGCAGGAAACAUUUACAUCGAUUUCAAUUGAAGAAUCGAAAUAAAAAUUAGAUACUACUCGUUGACAAGUUGGCAAAGUUUAAAUGGAUUGGGAUACAUGUAACAUGGCAUGGAAACUAUACAACUCAUCGAAAGUGAACGCGCUUGCUGUUACGUCACGGUGGGAGGGCCGUUUUGUUUUUGCGCGUAGGGGAAAAAGAGAGACGCAGUUCGUGCAAACUCGGUCGAUGGCCGGCGCAUCAUCGGAUUAAAAAGUUGGGAGAAUUGAGUUACUACUAAAAUUUUGUUUGGUCUCUUUCGGCCGGUUGGGGUUUUUUAGAAGUGGAGGGACACAUCCGCUCGGGUUAUGUUUAUCGGGGCCGGAUGCAGCAGCCGCUAUUAUCGGACUUUAACCCCCAGCACAUGUCGCACUCGAUGCGGAUGUUGUUCCUUUCAAUGCAAACGCUUCGCGGUGAAAACGGCAGACGUGGACUGUCGCUCGAGGGAAACCGCGCAGGUGGCCAGUUUCGAUAGUUUGUUUCCCCCCUCAUUCGUUUUAGACCUGUUAGACAUUUGCAAACAAAUGACGGACACACGGGAUGAUGGAAGCCCAUAUAUUCCCAGCUGCAGAUCGCCUCAAAACGUGCCACAGACUCUCGACUAUUUUUCUCUGAUGAAGGCAAACAGAUUUGGUGCACCUGCUGGAAGCGGGGGCCGAGUCCGUCGGUCGAUAUGGAAAUGUCCCAGCCUUUUUUUUUUUAUUAUUUGAAACGAAAUAAAAAUACGGGGGGAUUCAAAUUUU